This 478-nucleotide ribosomal RNA is filed under the name uncultured bacterium. RNAcentral describes it as "partial 16S ribosomal RNA". It matches the Rfam family "Bacterial small subunit ribosomal RNA", at positions 28 to 507 of the family's 1533-position model. The record is from RNAcentral.
GAUGAACGCUGGCGGCGUGCCUAACACAUGCAAGUCGAACGGAGUCCAGCCUUUAAGACCUUCGGGUCAAAGAGGGGAAGACUGAGUGGCGGACGGGUGAGUAACACGUGGGCAACCUGGCUCAUAGAGGGGGAUAACAGAGAGAAAUUUCUGCUAAUACCGCAUAAGCACACACUGCCGCAUGGCAGAGGGUGAAAAGAGAAUCGCUAUGAGAUGGACCCGCGUCUGAUUAGCCAGUUGGCAGGGUAAGAGCCUACCAAAGCGACGAUCAGUAGCCGAGCUGAGAGGAUGAACGGCCACAUUGGGACUGAGACACGGCCCAAACUCCUACGGGAGGCAGCAGUGGGGGAUAUUGCACAAUGGGGGGAACCCUGAUGCAGCGACGCCGCGUGAGUGAAGAAGUAUUUCGGUAUGUAAAGCUCUAUCAGCAGGGAAGAUAAUGACAGUACCUGAAGAAGAAGCCCCGGCUAACUACGUG